Molecule: transfer RNA, 94 nt
Filed under: Burkholderiaceae bacterium
Lineage: Bacteria; Pseudomonadati; Pseudomonadota; Betaproteobacteria; Burkholderiales; Burkholderiaceae
Description: tRNA-Ser
Rfam family: tRNA
About the family: Transfer RNA (tRNA) molecules are approximately 80 nucleotides in length.
Source: RNAcentral
GGAGGCGUGCCCGAGCGGCUGAAGGGGCUCCCCUGCUAAGGGAGUAUGUGCGCUAAAACGUGCAUCCAGGGUUCGAAUCCCUGCGCCUCCGCCA